Molecule: non-coding RNA, 1678 nt
Organism: Vicugna pacos (alpaca)
Lineage: Eukaryota; Metazoa; Chordata; Mammalia; Artiodactyla; Camelidae
Source: RefSeq, a predicted model, not a curated record
CCGGCCCCCGGGACCUCUCCCUUCGGAGCCCAGUCGGUCUGUCCGGGGGCGGCGGUUUGGCCUGAGUUCCGUCUUACUAAUUCGGAACCACGGAGGCGCGGCCACCGAGAGAGGGGGCGGUCCCAGCGGAGGAGGCUUCGUGAUUCCUUCCUUCCCUCCCGUCCUCCAGUCCCGCAAACACCUGCCCACCCACCAUUCGGGACGCCUCUCCUUCCUGGGUUUUAUACUGGAUCUAGGGAGCGUCGCCGAGGAAGCCAAGCCUCCCCCACCAAUUCUGCCUCUCCAGUUCUUCAGGAAAGGGGUAAGCUACGCCUCUCCACUCACCCUGCGCCCACUGGGACCAGCUUCUGGGGACUGGAGACAAGAGAGAACCAGCCUCCACCUGUCCCUCAGGCCUGCGACCCACAGAGCGCCAACCUCCUGGGCUUUACCGUCCUAGGUCUUCUGUUGACUGCUGAUCCAGUGACACUGGCAGUAACGCCCCACAGGACCCCUUACUAAAGGAGUGAUGGGGUGUGUUUGGAUAUGAUGACAAGGAGACAAAGAAUCAGAGGACCUAAGAAAGGACACUACCCCAAGUCAGAUUUGUGCUGAGAAAGCCAACUUUAAAAUUGCCCUACUCUUGAUUCAAACAUAAAUAUAUAAAGCUAGCCGUUACUGUUUGAAAGCAUGCCUGUGUGAAAGUAUGCAUGACAAAUGAAACUCAACUUACUGUUCAUCACAGCUGAAGCUUAAUUGGAAUAGUUGUCUCAUUGACAGCUUUUACAUUUUGCUAACCGUAACAUUAGAAGUGAAUAUUAGGAACGAUGGUUUUUGUUUUUCUACAAUUGAUGAUACAUUCCGAGCUUAUUUCUGAUAAAGCAGAGCAGUUUCUAAGGAUAUUGCACUCAUGAUUUAAAGUCAUGACUCCAUUAUGGAAAGGAGGACAAGAACUAUGUUCCAAUGACUGCCUUUUAAAUUAGCUGUAUUUAAUUAAUAGGCUAAAUUUAAAAAUUGGUUGAGUGAUUACAAUGCUGGCAUUUAAAAGUGGAAGAUUACAAUUUUUCACACAUUUUUGUCUGUAAUAUGCAUUCAGAAUGAGUGCAUAUUGAACAGUAGUUGGUAAGGUCUUAAAUUAAUUUGAUAUCUAAUGAGAUAAUCCAGCAUUUCAUAUAUGAAAUAAAUGAGAUAAGUGAGGAAUAUAUUGGAAAGCAGUUCCUAAAUCUGAUUUCUUUUUGGGCUUCAAGCAUAAAAAUCAAGCAGAUAAAAAAAAAUCUUGUUAGAUUGUAAAACAUUGCUGCAAUAUGAAGUGAUUAGGUAACCCAAGCUGCAAAAUAUUUUAAGCAGCUUUUUUAAAACCUACAUUUAAGAUUAGGUCUAUUGUCUAGAAUUUGACUAUAACAAAAUUUCUUACAUGAGUAUUUUUUGAAUCAUAAUGAUCAUUUUAGUGCGAAUACCACAAUAAACAUAGACUCUGAUAUGAUACAUUUUUGUAAACUAAGUACUUUAAAACUCUUAAAAUCAGUUUUAUAACCCCCUGAAACAUCAUAAACUUCUGAAAGGAUUGCUUUGGAAAACAACACAUACUCCACUCAAGAUGGAAGUGGAAAUGGGAAAGGAUGGCUUGUUUUAGAUGUUUCUUAUCAAAGGAAAUGUUUUUCUGCGCUUAUUACAAUAAAGAAUGCAUUUUUGUAGGUAA